UAGGGAAUUUUCCGCAAUGGGCGCAAGCCUGACGGAGCAAUGCCGCGUGAGGGAAGAAGGCCUUCGGGUCGUAAACCUCUUUCGUUUGGGAAGAAAGCGUAGAACAAGAAACGGUUUUGCGUUGACGGUACCGAAGGAAGAAGCCCCGGCUAAUUACGUGCCAGCAGCCGCGGUAAUACGUAAGGGGCAAGCGUUGUCCGGAAUCACUGGGCGUAAAGGGCGCGUAGGCGGUUCGUUAAGUCAGAAGUGAAAGCGCUGGGCCUAACCCAGCAAUGGCUUUUGAGACUGGCGAGCUAGAGGGUCCUAGGGGAUGCUGGAAUUCCAGGUGUAGCGGUGAAAUGCGUAGAUAUCUGGGAGAACACCCGUGGCGAAGGCGGGCAUCUGGGGGACACCUGACGCUGAGGCGCGAAAGCUAGGGGAGCGAACGG
RNAcentral lists this ribosomal RNA (428 nucleotides) under uncultured bacterium. Its description in RNAcentral is "bacterial SSU rRNA". It matches the Rfam family "Bacterial small subunit ribosomal RNA", at positions 355 to 775 of the family's 1533-position model. The record is from RNAcentral.